Molecule: long non-coding RNA, 826 nt
Organism: Vicia villosa (hairy vetch)
Lineage: Eukaryota; Viridiplantae; Streptophyta; Magnoliopsida; Fabales; Fabaceae
Exons: 5
Source: RefSeq, a predicted model, not a curated record
CCACGUUUCUUUCCUCUCCCUUAUCUCUUCAUUUCUGUAUUUUCAACAACAAUGUUGAAACUCAAAUGUUUCUUUCAAUCUUCAAACUUUGAUUUCUUUUAUUUAUAUUUUCUGAAUCGUUUUGAACAACUGUGAAUUUUAUAUCAAUGAUAUUUCAAAUCUGUGAAAUUAGUGGUGUUGUUUAGAUCUAUUAAAAAGAUAAGUGAUGUUUUUAGAUCUGAGAAAUCAAAGAAGGUGGUGAUGUUGCGGUUUCCGGUGGCGGCGCAUCUGUGCGUUUUUGUGUGAUUUGGAGGUGGUAAGGUUGCGAUCUCCGGUGAUGGAUGCAAGAUGAUUUCACGACGGCAAAUCGCCCUCAACCGACAAAGCUGCAACAUCUCAACAGACAUGCGGCGUCGACGCCUCCACAACCAAUCAACGACUACACCGCACGACCCCUCUUCAUUUCGGCACCAAGCCAUCGGCAUUCACCUGUAUCGUGCCUUGCUUGCAUCCACUACCACGGUUAAAUAUUCUUCGUGCCAGGCCACCGUAGCUGGUAACUCUUCUGGUUCUUCAUUUCCGUUCUACAUACUCGAAAAAUAGUGUCGUUAUUAGGGCACAUAGUGUCAUCAACAUGGUGGUAACAACCUGCUAAUGCUAUGGCGGAGUCAAAUAUAGAUAUUCUACCAAAUACAAGUAACUACUACAUAGAGAAAAAUGAGAGUAAGAUAGAGAAAAACAAGAGACAUAAAAUAGGAGAUGAUUGCUAUUAAAAUUCAGUGGUUAAACUUUAGUAUGAUCAACUAUUUAUUAUCUUAAAAUACAAGAAAAUGUUAUUAUAAAUGGU